GAAAAAGAGAAAAAGCCACCGCCGCCGCUUCCUUCCCCCACGUUGGCGGCCUCUCUCUACCGUGCGCCGCCCUCCUCCUUCCCCGACGCCGGCCGCCUCCCUGCACCACGCGCCGCCAUCCUCCUUCCCCGCCGCCCCCUCCUCCUUCCUCGGUGCCGGCAGUCUCCCUCCACUACGCGUCGCUCCUCCUUUCCCGGCGCAGGCCGCCUCCCUCCCCCACCGCACCGGCGACCCGGGCACCCGGUCCCCCACCGCGCCGUCGACCCGGCCACACGGUCCCCCACCGCGCCGCUGACCCGGCCACCCAGUCACCCGAAGUGCUGCCACACGGCCCCCAUCGCGCCGCCACCCCGGCCACCCGACCCCUCAUCGCGCUGCCGCCCCGGCAACCAGAUCCCUACUGCGCCUCGCUACCCCGGCCACCCAGCCCAGCGUCGCUCCACAUUAUCUCCGUGAUCCUGGAUGUUCUUCUGCAGUCCUACUGUGACAUCCGCCGCGGGCCACUACUACAGCAAAUAUCCGAGUGAGUUGCAGUACAACUUGAGCUAGAUGAGAGGGUGAUAAAUUUAAGAAGAAUCAGGGACGUAUGCGUGUUGUGCCAUUGAUCUUUCUUUGAACAAUGAUUCUCUGCCAUGGACGGAUGCCUUCUUUGUAGAUAAGGGCAUAUGACACUCUAUGCUCUGAAGGUGCUUGUUGAUAUGCCAAUGAGAACAUAUACAUUUUUCUGCAGGUUUUCUUGUUGAUUUAUGAGGGUACCACAAGUUCUAUUUUUAUAGAAGUUGAACUAAAGGAUAUGAAGUUUGAUGGAUGUGGAGGUUCUUUUGACCUUGAAUUUUAUAAGAGUUCAGCUUUUACUUGAUUUUCAGUUCAAAAUUUGCAUUCUUUUCACUACAUCAACUUUAACGUGUAGAACAUCAAGGAAAUCUUGAAAAUUAUAUGUGCACUCUAUGUCUUUUUCUUAUGCUUACAAGUAUUCUGCACUCAUACUAUUAUGCAUACGUUCAGGUCACGUGUGGAGUUUCAGAUAUAGGCAAUUGAAUUAGAGCACCAUGCUCUCACCCAUGUAAUUUGUAGGGAAAACAUAAUAAGUUCUAAGAAAAUAAAUAUAGAAGUUCAUAUUUCGAAACAAAUGAAGUAUUUGGGAACUAAAUGAAGUGUUUCAAAGUACAAAACUUCUAUUUAGGUUUCUUUUGUGUACUUCUAAUGUUACUGUGCAUGAACUUGUCGUUAUUUUUACACGUUUUUCAUGAUUAUGGUCAUUUCGACCAUGAAAAAUUAUGUUUGCUUUUUUCCGUUCAUCUUACAUGUCGAAGGAGCUCCCUUCAGUUCAAUGGAUUCAACAAAAUAAUCCAUGCUGCCUACUAGAACUUGUGUGUGUGUUGUGGCGUGUGUGCUGGUGCAUGCCUGGUGGCUGAUGCGGCGUGCGAGCAUGUACAUAAAUUGAACUGAAUGAUCUCCAGUAAGUGAACUCAAUGAUCUCCUGUAUCUGAACGACCGGGGAGAUGCAUCAUGUACAAAAAAAUGGUAGGAUCUUGAGGUGUUGCUGCUACUUCUUUCUUCUCAUGCCCUACUAUUGCUCCAUUCGAUUACAUGCUACUUAUAUGAAAAUAAUUGAUGGUCUAGGUACUUUUUGAAAUGCUUAUGACAACCAAUUUUUGUUGUUUGGUAUUUUUGCUGUUCAAGAAAAAUACGAAAUCCUUUUACUGCCCUCUUUCUUGUCUCACUCAUUCAUAGUAUUAUAUGUACACAAACCCAUGUCAUCUUGAACUUGUUGUUAUUAUUACCGGUGCCAAAAACUAGUGUCUUGUUUUGCUAAUGUCGAUCCCACAGUCACUGCCGUCUGCGCCCCACAUCCCCGUGCCACCCGUCGAAGGCUCUUGCUACGCAGAGAUCCAACGAAGAUAUGUUUUGGUUAAUUUUUGGUCAGUUAAUAUUUCGGUGACGUGCUCAGUUCAGUUUAUUAAUUUACUUCAGUGCAAUUUCUUAUUUUUGGUUCAAUUCAAAUUCUUAUUUCAGUUUAGUUAUGUAUAGCAAGAAGAAUAUCUUGCUGUAACUUGUCUCGGUUUUAUUAGUGUCUUACUUUCCUACAAAAGCGAAAGCAUAAUGUUGUUUCAUGUCAUAAGGUUUUCUCUGAAACAUACGGGGCCUAAGAUAAUGAAGCAAUAUAAACUCUACUGUCUCAUCAAGAUCUUAUCAUGAUACUUAUUUGAACAAUUCAUCCAUUUUCUUGGGAUUGAACCUACCGGUUCCACUGCUCAAAUUUAUUGAGCUUCUGACUUCAAAUUCUGAACAUCUUAUGUUACUUGUGCAUACAAGGGGGAAACUGAUUCUGAACAUCUACCAAGGCUCCUUGCUGGAUAUCGGCGCUAGAGGGGAACGGACACCAUCGUUGCCCCGUGCCCAUAGACUUCUCUUCUACAAUGCAAGUUCAGAAAAGUUCAGGGAAAAAAGCAGAUACUCGUCAUCGGUUAUGAAGUAGAUAGAGUACAUAAGAUGGCUACCAUGGUCUAUGAAGUACAGGCAAAAAGGUGCCACCCGCCGUCGGCACUCUCUUGUCGUGACGUACAGGCCAAGCAACGUGACUACAUGAGAAGGGUCAGCAUUAGCGGGAGCAGGGUAUGGAUGAGGAAGGAGCAUCAGUAUCUUCACUACUGCUACUGAUUCGUCUCCAUCCCUCUCUCACAUGUGAAGGAUGUUUGAAGAUUAUCGUGGAGCAAGUUCAAGAGAUUAGUUUCGUGAAAAUAAAUGUGAUAUUUUGGGAUUUCGCAUGAUCCAUAGCCAUCGGUGGCAACAGGCGAGCAGUUCGAGGCCUCCUGCAUGAGUCGUCCAUCAUCUUCUAUGCGUGAGCUUGUUGUCUCUACACAUCUAGCAUCAGAGUAUCUCCUCCCCUUCCGCACACACAUGUCAGGCGGUUGAGCUACUAUUGUUUGUGAUUACUGGUCGUGACUCUUACGUUGUCAUUGGACAAGAAUUUUUUUCUGUAACUCUGUAUUUGCAGGACAUUUAGCAAAAUAUUGUUGUGUUCUAAGUAUUCUAAUGUAGGCGAAAAUGGUGAACAUUUAAACACCAGCCCGAAUUAAAUGAAACUGGGAAGUUUUACUUUCAGUAAAUGGGUGAACCUAGAUGCAACAAAGCUCUGCU
Triticum aestivum (bread wheat) is the source of this 3141-nucleotide long non-coding RNA. RefSeq lists it as uncharacterized. NCBI's taxonomy places the organism in Eukaryota, Viridiplantae, Streptophyta, Magnoliopsida, Poales, Poaceae. The transcript is spliced from 3 exons. The record is from RefSeq and is a predicted model, not a curated record.